RNAcentral lists this ribosomal RNA (481 nucleotides) under uncultured bacterium. RNAcentral's name for it is "partial 16S ribosomal RNA". It matches the Rfam family "Bacterial small subunit ribosomal RNA", at positions 28 to 507 of the family's 1533-position model. The record is from RNAcentral.
GACGAACGUUGGCGGCGUGCUUAAUACAUGCAAGUCAACUGAAGCAGUGGUAGCAAUAUCGCUGUGGAGGUGGCGCACGGGUGAGUAACACGUAGGUAAUCUGCCUUCAGGUCUGGCAUAACUCCGGGAAACCGGGGCUAAUAGCAGAUGAUGCAGCGGCUCGACAUCGAGACAGUUGUUAAAGCUAUGGCGCCUGAAGAUGAGCCUGCGUCUGAUUAGCUAGUUGGCGGGGUAACGGCCCACCAAGGCAACGAUCAGUAGCUGGUCUGAGAGGAUGAUCAGCCACACUGGAACUGAGACACGGUCCAGACUCCUACGGGAGGCAGCAGUAAGGAAUAUUGCUCAAUGGGAGAAAUCCUGAAGCAGCAACGCCGCGUGAGGGACGAAGGGCUUUUGAUUGUAAACCUCUGUAGUGAGAGAAAAAAAUCCCAAUCUUUGGGACAUGAUGGUAUCUCAAAAGUAAGCCCCGGCUAACUACGUG